UUUUCUUUGUUUUUUCAUUCUUAAUUCCCUCCUUCCACUUCUGAAUCUUGUUUUUGUUUUGUUUUUGUUUUGGUUGUUGUUGGUGUGGGGUUAUGACAUGAAUGGUGGUGGAGUGUGAGGUUUGCAGGAGAUAUGAAUAGUGGUUGAGAUUAAGGUGAUAUGAGGUUUAUGCACGAAUGUGAUGGUGUGGAGAGUGGAGGUAGUCAUUGAUUGUUUUGUGAUGAUGAUGAAGGUUAAGGGAGAGGUGAAUGAUGAUGGAUAAAAAUGAUGUUUUAAGGUGGUGAUGAGGGG
This 291-nucleotide long non-coding RNA is filed under the name Lathyrus oleraceus (garden pea). RNAcentral describes it as "Pisum sativum (pea) long non-coding RNA (PSAT_LNC011849)". Lineage: Eukaryota; Viridiplantae; Streptophyta; Magnoliopsida; Fabales; Fabaceae. The record is from RNAcentral.